RNAcentral lists this non-coding RNA (29 nucleotides) under Mus musculus (house mouse). The record is from RNAcentral. Lineage: Eukaryota; Metazoa; Chordata; Mammalia; Rodentia; Muridae.
UGGACCAGAUCAUUCAUGAGGCUUGCAGU